Molecule: long non-coding RNA, 453 nt
Organism: Suricata suricatta (meerkat)
Lineage: Eukaryota; Metazoa; Chordata; Mammalia; Carnivora; Herpestidae
Exons: 2
Source: RefSeq, a predicted model, not a curated record
CGGCGGUGUUUGUCAGGUGGUCUGGCUCCUCCCACAGCUAGAGGCGUAUGCCGGGUCCAGACUGAGUCGAGGGCUGUCGCGGUGCCAUGGGGACGGCCAGGGACCUGGACGACCCUGAGAACUGCGUCUCCUCCUACCCUGGAACCGCCGUGUCCGAAGCCCCGGCAUUGAAGCUGAUAUGGAAUAUACGAGGCUGAAACCUUCAUCAACUCUCCAAAGAUUGUUUGCACUCUUCUGUUUUGAUUAGUUUUCAUGUGUGGCUUGUGAAUCACAGGAGGAAUGACUUUUGCCCAGAUACAACAUGUUGUGAGUACAUGUGAAUAGAAUUAUUCUUUUUUCCACCAUCAAAAUGAGUGCCCAUUACUUAGACUUAUUUUAAGCCAUUACUUAAUAUGAAUGUGAAUGUGUGUAAAGUUAAAUAAAGCUGCAAGUGCGACAUUUGAGAUGUUAAAA